Long non-coding RNA from Panthera uncia (snow leopard), 589 nucleotides. RefSeq lists it as uncharacterized. The transcript has 3 exons. Lineage: Eukaryota; Metazoa; Chordata; Mammalia; Carnivora; Felidae. The record is from RefSeq and is a predicted model, not a curated record.
UGCUCAGGACCCACGGGGCAGUCUAGAGGGCCCUCCGGAGACAACGGGUUGGAGGUCGCACGGGCUCACAGGGGCUCUUGUUCAAACGAAAAGAGCGAGAACUAGGGCUCGGGGCCGGUUUGGAGGAGCCUCAGAGGUCCUUUUCGUCCCUAAACGUGCCUUCGGCAGGGUCUGCCCGCGAGCGCCCCCAAGCGGCAGGUCUCAGAGUCCAGGUCGUUGGUGUGAUGCCUUUUCUAACCCUUCUAUCAAGAAUCAGCCAGAGCCACCAAUUUAGAGCACAGAUAUGAUUGUGCCACUCCGUGUUUACAUUCCUCUAAUGGCACCUGUUAACCUCAGGAUGAAAUUUAGACGCUUUAGCAUGGUUUCUGAGGUCCUUUGUCAUCGGACUUUGCGCAUAUAUCCAGCUGCCCACUGCUUCCUCCCGGCUUCAGCCAUCCCGAGUGAUCUCCAUGGGCUCUUCCACUCCGGUCAUACAUAUUCAUCACCACCCACUUAUUCCUUUACGGGAGAAGCCUAUGUCCCUGCCUCAUUGGCCCUGGGCUUGGCCACAUGACAGGAUCGACUAAUAAAUGCGAGUGGAUGAACAGAA